UGGGGAAUAUUGGACAAUGGGCGCAAGCCUGAUCCAGCCAUGCCGCGUGAGUGACGAAGGCCUUAGGGUUGUAAAGCUCUUUUGGCGGGGACGAUAAUGACGGUACCCGCAGAAUAAGCCCCGGCUAACUUCGUGCCAGCAGCCGCGGUAAUACGAAGGGGGCUAGCGUUGUUCGGAAUUACUGGGCGUAAAGCGCACGUAGGCGGACUUUCAAGUCAGGGGUGAAAUCCCGGGGCUCAACCUCGGAACUGCCUCUGAUACUGUUGGUCUUGAAUCCGGUAGAGGUGGGUGGAAUUCCUAGUGUAGAGGUGAAAUUCGCAGAUAUUAGGAAGAACACCGGUGGCGAAGGCGGCUCACUGGUCCGGUACUGACACUGAGGUGCGAAAGCGUGGGGAGCAAACAGGAUUAGAUACCCAAGUAGUCCCUGAGCGGGCUGGCAAGGCGC
RNAcentral lists this ribosomal RNA (445 nucleotides) under uncultured bacterium. RNAcentral describes it as "bacterial SSU rRNA". It matches the Rfam family "Bacterial small subunit ribosomal RNA", at positions 355 to 823 of the family's 1533-position model. The record is from RNAcentral.